RNAcentral lists this ribosomal RNA (638 nucleotides) under uncultured bacterium. Its description in RNAcentral is "bacterial SSU rRNA". It matches the Rfam family "Bacterial small subunit ribosomal RNA", at positions 607 to 1244 of the family's 1533-position model. The record is from RNAcentral.
GCUUAACUUAGGAAUUGCAUUCGAUACUGGGAAGCUAGAGUAUGGGAGAGGAUGGUAGAAUUCCAGGUGUAGCGGUGAAAUGCGUAGAGAUCUGGAGGAAUACCGAUGGCGAAGGCAGCCAUCUGGCCUAAUACUGACGCUGAGGUACGAAAGCAUGGGGAGCAAACAGGAUUAGAUACCCUGGUAGUCCAUGCCGUAAACGAUGUCUACUAGCCGUUGGGGCCUUUGAGGCUUUAGUGGCGCAGCUAACGCGAUAAGUAGACCGCCUGGGGAGUACGGUCGCAAGACUAAAACUCAAAUGAAUUGACGGGGGCCCGCACAAGCGGUGGAGCAUGUGGUUUAAUUCGAUGCAACGCGAAGAACCUUACCUGGUCUUGACAUAGUAAGAACUUUCCAGAGAUGGAUUGGUGCCUUCGGGAACUUACAUACAGGUGCUGCAUGGCUGUCGUCAGCUCGUGUCGUGGGAUGUUGGGUUAAGUCCCGCAACGAGCGCAACCCUUUUCCUUAUUUGCCAGCGGGUUAAGCCGGGAACUUUAAGGAUACUGCCAGUGACAAACUGGAGGAAGGCGGGGACGACGUCAAGUCAUCAUGGCCCUUACGACCAGGGCUACACACGUGCUACAAUGGUCGGUACAAAG